Molecule: ribosomal RNA, 393 nt
Filed under: Hordeum vulgare subsp. vulgare (domesticated barley)
Lineage: Eukaryota; Viridiplantae; Streptophyta; Magnoliopsida; Poales; Poaceae
Description: Eukaryotic large subunit ribosomal RNA
Rfam family: Eukaryotic large subunit ribosomal RNA
Source: Rfam by way of RNAcentral
AUAGUGUCGCGAUAGUAAUUCAACCUAGUAUGAGAGGAACCGUUGAUUCACACAAUUGGUCAUCGCGCUUGGUUGAAAAGCGAGUGGCGCGAAGCUACCGUGUGCCGGAUUAUGACUGAACGCCUCUAAGUCAGAAUCCAAGCUAGCAUGCGACGCCUGCGCCCGCCGCUCGCCCCGACCCACGUUAGGGGCGCUUGCGCCCCCAAGGGCCCGUGCCAUUGGCUAAGUCGUUCCGGCCGACGUGUCGUGAUCAGCUGCCUUGAAGCUCCCUUCCCAACCUUCGGUCGGCUGAAUCCUUUGCAGACGACUUAAAUACACGACAGGGCAUUGUAAGUGGUAGAGUGGCCUUGCUGCCACGAUCCACUGAGAUCCAGCCCCAUGUCGCACGGAUUC